Molecule: ribosomal RNA, 496 nt
Filed under: uncultured bacterium
Lineage: Bacteria
Description: partial 16S ribosomal RNA
Rfam family: Bacterial small subunit ribosomal RNA
Source: RNAcentral
GAUGAACGCUGGCGGCGUGCCUAAUACAUGCAAGUCGAGCGAACAGACGAGGAGCUUGCUCCUCUGACGUUAGCGGCGGACGGGUGAGUAACACGUGGAUAACCUACCUAUAAGACUGGGAUAACUUCGGGAAACCGGAUCUAUACCGGAUAAUAUAUUGAACCGCCUGGGUUCAUCGGAAAACACGGUUUUGGUUUCACCUAUAGAUGGAUCCCCGCCGCAUUAGCUAGUUGGUAAGGUAACGGCUUACCAAGGCGACGAUGCGUAGCCGGCCUGAGAGGGUGAUCGGCCACACUGGAACUGAGACACGGUCCAGACUCCUACGGGAGGCAGCAGUAGGGAAUCUUCCGCAAUGGGCGAAAGCCUGACGGAGCAACGCCGCGUGAGUGAUGAAGGUCUUCGGAUCGUAAAACUCUGUUAUUAGGGAAGAACAAAUGUGUAAGUAACUAUGCACGUCUUGACGGUACCUAAUCAGAAAGCCACGGCUAACUACGUG